RNAcentral lists this ribosomal RNA (253 nucleotides) under uncultured bacterium. RNAcentral describes it as "partial 16S ribosomal RNA". It matches the Rfam family "Bacterial small subunit ribosomal RNA", at positions 524 to 776 of the family's 1533-position model. The record is from RNAcentral.
UACGGAGGGUGCGAGCGUUAAUCGGAAUUACUGGGCGUAAAGCGUGCGUAGGCGGUUUGAUAAGUCAGAUGUGAAAUCCCGGAGCUUAACUUCGGAACUGCAUUUGAAACUGUUUAACUAGAGUACUGUAGAGGGUGGUGGAAUUUCCAGUGUAGCGGUGAAAUGCGUAGAGAUUGGAAGGAACAUCAGUGGCGAAGGCGGCCACCUGGACAGAUACUGACGCUGAGGCACGAAAGCGUGGGUAGCGAAAGGG